AGAGUUUGAUCAUGGCUCAGAUUGAACGCUGGUGGUAUGCUUAACACAUGCAAGUCGAACGGUAACAUUGGAGCUUGCUCCAGAUGACGAGUGGCGGACGGGUGAGUAACGCGUAGGAAUCUGCCUAGUAGUGGGGGACAACAUGUGGAAACGCAUGCUAAUACCGCAUACGCCCUACGGGGGAAAGCGGGGGAUCUUCGGACCUCGCGCUAUUAGAUGAGCCUGCGUUAGAUUAGCUUGUUGGUGGGGUAAUGGCCUACCAAGGCGACGAUCUAUAGCUGGUCUGAGAGGACGAUCAGCCACACUGGGACUGAGACACGGCCCAGACUCCUACGGGAGGCAGCAGUGGGGAAUAUUGGACAAUGGGCGCAAGCCUGAUCCAGCAAUACCACGUGUGUGAAGAAGGCCUGAGGGUUGUAAAGCACUUUCAAUUGGGAGGAAAACAGCUGGGUUAAUAGCCCUGCUCUUGACAUUACCUUUAGAAGAAGCACCGGCUAACUCCGUGCCAGCAGCCGCGGUAAUACGGAGGGUGCGAGCGUUAAUCGGAAUUACUGGGCGUAAAGCGUACGUAGGCGGUUAUUUAAGUCAGAUGUGAAAGCCCCGGGCUCAACCUGGGAACUGCAUUUGAAACUGGAUAACUAGAGUUUGAUAGAGGAGAG
Molecule: ribosomal RNA, 659 nt
Filed under: uncultured bacterium
Lineage: Bacteria
Description: bacterial SSU rRNA
Rfam family: Bacterial small subunit ribosomal RNA
Source: RNAcentral